RNAcentral lists this ribosomal RNA (253 nucleotides) under uncultured bacterium. RNAcentral's name for it is "partial 16S ribosomal RNA". It matches the Rfam family "Bacterial small subunit ribosomal RNA", at positions 524 to 776 of the family's 1533-position model. The record is from RNAcentral.
UACGUAGGGUGCAAGCGUUAAUCGGAAUUACUGGGCGUAAAGCGUGCGCAGGCGGUUAUGCAAGACAGAUGUGAAAUCCCCGGGCUCAACCUGGGAACUGCAUUUGUGACUGCAUGGCUAGAGUACGGUAGAGGGGGAUGGAACUCCGCGUGUAGCAGUGAAAUGCGUAGAUAUGCGGAGGAACACCGAUGGCGGAGGCAAUCCCCUGGACCUGUACUGACGCUCAUGCACGAAAGCGUGGGGAGCAAACAGG